AGGACGAACGCUGGCGGCGUGCUUAACACAUGCAAGUCGAACGUGAAGCCCGGGCUUGCCCGGGUGGAAAGUGGCGAACGGGUGCGUAACACGUGGGCAACCUGCCCCUAGCUCUGGGAUAAACCCCCGGGAAAUCGGGACUAAAUACCGGAUAUGAAGUCGGACGGCAUCGUCUGACUUGGAAAGUUUUUCGGCUAGGGAUGGGCCCGCGGCCUAUCAGCUUGUUGGUGGGGUAAUGGCCUACCAAGGCGACGACGGGUAG
Molecule: ribosomal RNA, 262 nt
Filed under: uncultured bacterium
Lineage: Bacteria
Description: partial small subunit ribosomal RNA
Rfam family: Bacterial small subunit ribosomal RNA
Source: RNAcentral